RNAcentral lists this ribosomal RNA (201 nucleotides) under uncultured Bdellovibrio sp. RNAcentral describes it as "partial 16S ribosomal RNA". It matches the Rfam family "Bacterial small subunit ribosomal RNA", at positions 519 to 718 of the family's 1533-position model. The record is from RNAcentral. Lineage: Bacteria; Pseudomonadati; Bdellovibrionota; Bdellovibrionia; Bdellovibrionales; Pseudobdellovibrionaceae.
GGUAAGACGAGGGAUCCUAGCGUUGUUCGGAAUUAUUGGGCGUAAAGCGGGUGUGGGUGGCUAUGUAAGUCAAGUGUGAAAGCCUGGGGNNCAACCCCAGAAGUGCAUUUGAUACUGCGUAGNUNNNGUGCUAGAGAGGAUAGUAGAAUUGUUGGUGUAGUGGUGAAAUACGUAGAUAUCAACAGGNANUACCGGGUGGGC